RNAcentral lists this ribosomal RNA (253 nucleotides) under uncultured bacterium. RNAcentral's name for it is "partial 16S ribosomal RNA". It matches the Rfam family "Bacterial small subunit ribosomal RNA", at positions 524 to 776 of the family's 1533-position model. The record is from RNAcentral.
UACGAAGGGGGCUAGCGUUGCUCGGAUUUACUGGGCGUAAAGGGCGCGUAGGCGGACAGUUAAGUUGGGGGUGAAAGUCCGGGGCUCAACCUCGGAAUUGCCUUCAAUACUGGCUGUCUUGAGUGUGAGAGAGGUGUGUGGAACUCCGAGUGUAGAGGUGAAAUUCGUAGAUAUUCGGAAGAACACCAGUGGCGAAGGCGACACACUGGCUCACUACUGACGCUGAGGCGCGAAAGCGUGGGGAGCAAACAGG